CCUGGAAGGAGAUGGUGCCAAUGCAUGCGCACUCAAAAUCGGACCGUGAGGUAGCAAACAUGAAGAAAUUUGCGCCAGGUUAUUCAGUUUUCAAUGCCCUCUAGCAAAUGAUGAAUGCAUAAAAGGCAUUAACUGUGGUUAUGUCGAGUUUCUAGAGACGACCUGUGACACACACAUGUAAUGGAGCUGUCAAUAAAUUAUUAGCUAUCCUGACUUCAGGUCUUAGAUGAACAGUGAGUUGGAAUCCAAUGUGUGGGUCAUGGACAUUACCGAAUGCUGUGAUUCACAGACAGUGGCUCAGGAGCCACACGUGUCUCACAACACAUUAUAUCUGAGUCAAAGGUUUCAGGUGUUUAAAAACUGGGUCCCAAGGAAAAGAUAUUGGUGAAAUAUGACUUUAAUCCAAUUUGGGGUACUUUUUUGUCUUCGUGUGUUUUCUUAUUUACAACUAAUAUUAAUAUUAGGGGGCAAGGAGUGACAAAAUUAAAUACAUAAAUGAAUUAAAUACACCAUUAAAUAAUUAAAUGUGUCAGUUAUUUAAAAUUGGAAUUAGUGAACUAAAUAAAGAUUUAAAUAUUUCUGUUCAAACAUUUAAUAAAUUACUUAUUUUAAAUUUUAUUUGAUUAAUGACAUAAACGCCCCUCAUGGUUAAUGCCCCCUCAUGCAUCAUCAGAUACAAUACAUGCAUACAUCAAAUCAAAACCACAAUGACUUUUAACACAGUUUGAAAAGAACAUCCCCUCGUCUCCCUGCCAGUUGUCUUUCUGUCGCUGCCGGACGUACGCUUAUCGUCUGAAACAUCAGGCCCACAUCCUGCAAGAACCUCUACUAAAAGCUUAAUGAAAGAAUAUAAAAGUAUAAAAGACAAUUUGAAUAACCU
This is a long non-coding RNA of Haplochromis burtoni (Burton's mouthbrooder), 880 nucleotides long. RefSeq lists it as uncharacterized. Lineage: Eukaryota; Metazoa; Chordata; Actinopteri; Cichliformes; Cichlidae. The record is from RefSeq and is a predicted model, not a curated record. The transcript has 2 exons.